AGGGUUUGAUCCUGGCUCAGGAUGAACGCUGGCGGCGUGCCUAACACAUGCAAGUCGAACGGGGUUAUUUUGGAAAAUCCUUCGGGAUUGGAAUUCUUAACCUAGUGGCGGACGGGUGAGUAACGCGUGAGCAAUCUGCCUUUAAGAGGGGGAUAACAGUCGGAAACGGCUGCUAAUACCGCAUAAAGCAUUGAAUUCGCAUGUUUUCGAUGCCAAAGGAGCAAUCCGCUUUUAGAUGAGCUCGCGUCUGAUUAGCUAGUUGGCGGGGUAACGGCCCACCAAGGCGACGAUCAGUAGCCGGACUGAGAGGUUGAACGGCCACAUUGGGACUGAGACACGGCCCAG
Molecule: ribosomal RNA, 345 nt
Filed under: uncultured bacterium
Lineage: Bacteria
Description: bacterial SSU rRNA
Rfam family: Bacterial small subunit ribosomal RNA
Source: RNAcentral